GGAAUUAGAAGCUAAGAAGGUUGCUUUUAAUCCUAGUUAAAAGGGAAGCCGGUGUAAAUCCGGCACGGUCCCGCCACUGUAAAUCAGGGAUGUUCUCAAGAAUCAAUUUCAUAAUCUGCAUAGGCGAUUAUGAAAUUGAUUCAAUAUACCACUGUUCUGCUUCAUGUAGGAUGGGAAGGUGAGAAUGUCAGCUAACCUGUGAGUCAGGAGACCUGCCUUAUGAGAAGUACGAUG
RNAcentral lists this non-coding RNA (234 nucleotides) under Paenibacillus sp. RNAcentral also lists the same sequence under 1 other name. Lineage: Bacteria; Bacillati; Bacillota; Bacilli; Caryophanales; Paenibacillaceae. The record is from RNAcentral.